Molecule: ribosomal RNA, 2901 nt
Filed under: Escherichia coli
Lineage: Bacteria; Pseudomonadati; Pseudomonadota; Gammaproteobacteria; Enterobacterales; Enterobacteriaceae
Description: 23S ribosomal RNA
Rfam family: Bacterial large subunit ribosomal RNA
Source: RNAcentral
UUAAGCGACUAAGCGUACACGGUGGAUGCCCUGGCAGUCAGAGGCGAUGAAGGACGUGCUAAUCUGCGAUAAGCGUCGGUGAGGUGAUAUGAACCGUUAUAACCGGCGAUUUCCGAAUGGGGAAACCCAGUGUGUUUCGACACACUAUCAUUAACUGAAUCCAUAGGUUAAUGAGGCGAACCGGGGGAACUGAAACAUCUAAGUACCCCGAGGAAAAGAAAUCAACCGAGAUUCCCCCAGUAGCGGCGAGCGAACGGGGAGGAGCCCAGAGCCUGAAUCAGUGUGUGUGUUAGUGGAAGCGUCUGGAAAGGCGUGCGAUACAGGGUGACAGCCCCGUACACAAAAAUGCACAUAUUGUGAGCUCGAUGAGUAGGGCGGGACACGUGGUAUCCUGUCUGAAUAUGGGGGGACCAUCCUCCAAGGCUAAAUACUCCUGACUGACCGAUAGUGAACCAGUACCGUGAGGGAAAGGCGAAAAGAACCCCGGCGAGGGGAGUGAAAAAGAACCUGAAACCGUGUACGUACAAGCAGUGGGAGCCUCUUAAUGGGGUGACUGCGUACCUUUUGUAUAAUGGGUCAGCGACUUAUAUUCUGUAGCAAGGUUAACCGAAUAGGGGAGCCGAAGGGAAACCGAGUCUUAACUGGGCGUUAAGUUGCAGGGUAUAGACCCGAAACCCGGUGAUCUAGCCAUGGGCAGGUUGAAGGUUGGGUAACACUAACUGGAGGACCGAACCGACUAAUGUUGAAAAAUUAGCGGAUGACUUGUGGCUGGGGGUGAAAGGCCAAUCAAACCGGGAGAUAGCUGGUUCUCCCCGAAAGCUAUUUAGGUAGCGCCUCGUGAAUUCAUCUCCGGGGGUAGAGCACUGUUUCGGCAAGGGGGUCAUCCCGACUUACCAACCCGAUGCAAACUGCGAAUACCGGAGAAUGUUAUCACGGGAGACACACGGCGGGUGCUAACGUCCGUCGUGAAGAGGGAAACAACCCAGACCGCCAGCUAAGGUCCCAAAGUCAUGGUUAAGUGGGAAACGAUGUGGGAAGGCCCAGACAGCCAGGAUGUUGGCUUAGAAGCAGCCAUCAUUUAAAGAAAGCGUAAUAGCUCACUGGUCGAGUCGGCCUGCGCGGAAGAUGUAACGGGGCUAAACCAUGCACCGAAGCUGCGGCAGCGACACUAUGUGUUGUUGGGUAGGGGAGCGUUCUGUAAGCCUGUGAAGGUGGCCUGUGAGGGUUGCUGGAGGUAUCAGAAGUGCGAAUGCUGACAUAAGUAACGAUAAAGCGGGUGAAAAGCCCGCUCGCCGGAAGACCAAGGGUUCCUGUCCAACGUUAAUCGGGGCAGGGUGAGUCGACCCCUAAGGCGAGGCCGAAAGGCGUAGUCGAUGGGAAACAGGUUAAUAUUCCUGUACUUGGUGUUACUGCGAAGGGGGGACGGAGAAGGCUAUGUUGGCCGGGCGACGGUUGUCCCGGUUUAAGCGUGUAGGCUGGUUUUCCAGGCAAAUCCGGAAAACCAAGGCUGAGGCGUGAUGACGAGGCACUACGGUGCUGAAGCGACAAAUGCCCUGCUUCCAGGAAAAGCCUCUAAGCAUCAGGUAACAUCAAAUCGUACCCCAAACCGACACAGGUGGUCAGGUAGAGAAUACCAAGGCGCUUGAGAGAACUCGGGUGAAGGAACUAGGCAAAAUGGUGCCGUAACUUCGGGAGAAGGCACGCUGAUAUGUAGGUGAAGCGACUUGCUCGUGGAGCUGAAAUCAGUCGAAGAUACCAGCUGGCUGCAACUGUUUAUUAAAAACACAGCACUGUGCAAACACGAAAGUGGACGUAUACGGUGUGACGCCUGCCCGGUGCCGGAAGGUUAAUUGAUGGGGUUAGCGGUAACGCGAAGCUCUUGAUCGAAGCCCCGGUAAACGGCGGCCGUAACUAUAACGGUCCUAAGGUAGCGAAAUUCCUUGUCGGGUAAGUUCCGACCUGCACGAAUGGCGUAAUGAUGGCCAGGCUGUCUCCACCCGAGACUCAGUGAAAUUGAACUCGCUGUGAAGAUGCAGUGUACCCGCGGCAAGACGGAAAGACCCCGUGAACCUUUACUAUAGCUUGACACUGAACAUUGAGCCUUGAUGUGUAGGAUAGGUGGGAGGCUUUGAAGUGUGGACGCCAGUCUGCAUGGAGCCGACCUUGAAAUACCACCCUUUAAUGUUUGAUGUUCUAACGUUGGCCCGUAAUCCGGGUUGCGGACAGUGUCUGGUGGGUAGUUUGACUGGGGCGGUCUCCUCCUAAAGAGUAACGGAGGAGCACGAAGGUUGGCUAAUCCUGGUCGGACAUCAGGAGGUUAGUGCAAUGGCAUAAGCCAGCUUGACUGCGAGCGUGACGGCGCGAGCAGGUGCGAAAGCAGGUCAUAGUGAUCCGGUGGUUCUGAAUGGAAGGGCCAUCGCUCAACGGAUAAAAGGUACUCCGGGGAUAACAGGCUGAUACCGCCCAAGAGUUCAUAUCGACGGCGGUGUUUGGCACCUCGAUGUCGGCUCAUCACAUCCUGGGGCUGAAGUAGGUCCCAAGGGUAUGGCUGUUCGCCAUUUAAAGUGGUACGCGAGCUGGGUUAGAACGUCGUGAGACAGUUCGGUCCCUAUCUGCCGUGGGCGCUGGAGAACUGAGGGGGGCUGCUCCUAGUACGAGAGGACCGGAGUGGACGCAUCACUGGUGUUCGGGUUGUCAUGCCAAUGGCACUGCCCGGUAGCUAAAUGCGGAAGAGAUAAGUGCUGAAAGCAUCUAAGCACGAAACUUGCCCCGAGAUGAGUUCUCCCUGACUCCUUGAGGGUCCUGAAGGAACGUUGAAGACGACGACGUUGAUAGGCCGGGUGUGUAAGCGCAGCGAUGCGUUGAGCUAACCGGUACUAAUGAACCGUGAGGCUUAACCUU